AGAGUUCGAUCAUGGCUCAGGACGAACGCUGGCGGCGCGCCUAACACAUGCAAGUCGAACGAGCGAGAGAGAGCUUGCUUUCUCAAGCGAGUGGCGAACGGGUGAGUAACGCGUAACCAACCUGCCCUUCAGAGGGGGAUAACAACGGGAAACCGUUGCUAAUACCGCGUGCGAAUGAACUUCGGCAUCGAAGCUCAUUGAAAGGUGGCCUCUAUUUAUAAGCUAUCGCUGAAGGAGGGGGUUGCGUCUGAUUAGCUAGUUGGAGGGGUAACGGCCCACCAAGGCAAUGAUCAGUAGCCGGUCUGAGAGGAUGAACGGCCACAUUGGGACUGAGACACGGCCCAA
Molecule: ribosomal RNA, 345 nt
Filed under: uncultured bacterium
Lineage: Bacteria
Description: bacterial SSU rRNA
Rfam family: Bacterial small subunit ribosomal RNA
Source: RNAcentral